GCGCCGCUAGCUCAACUGGCAGAGCAGCUGACUCUUAAUCAGCGGGUACGGGGUUCGAGUCCCUGGCGGCGCA
Molecule: transfer RNA, 73 nt
Filed under: Actinomycetota bacterium
Lineage: Bacteria; Bacillati; Actinomycetota
Description: tRNA-Lys
Rfam family: tRNA
About the family: Transfer RNA (tRNA) molecules are approximately 80 nucleotides in length. Their secondary structure includes four short double-helical elements and three loops (D, anti-codon, and T loops).
Source: RNAcentral